RNAcentral lists this unclassified non-coding RNA (1058 nucleotides) under Hevea brasiliensis (rubber tree). The record is from RNAcentral. Lineage: Eukaryota; Viridiplantae; Streptophyta; Magnoliopsida; Malpighiales; Euphorbiaceae.
AUACGACACAUUUUCUAGCGGUUAGUUUUGAAGCUUUGACUUGAUUAUCUUUGUUGAAGUUAUUUUGCAUUGUAUGGGAUGGUUACAUUGGUAUGUCCACUUUCAUUUUGAAGUGGCAAUGCUUCUACUCAUAUUUAGGUGGUUAUUAUCAAUAUUUCCUCAUAACCAGGUGUCUUUUUUAUAUUGUAAUUGUUAGUGACCUGGUGAAUGAUUUCUGCCUCAAUCAGUUAAAUUUAUGCUGUGGUAUAUUGUUGUCAUCUAAUAUUCUGCCCUGGUCAACUUUAUAAAGAUUAAAUAUUAUAAUUUUCUUAUAGGUAGUAGUUUCUAUCAACUGUAGUCUGUUGUUGAUAGAGAAAAGAAUGCAGACAGUGAUUCAAAGACACAACAACAAUCAAUAAGAGAAUAGAAAUAGAAAUGGAGAAGGGAAAUUUAUUAAUUCCAAUAUUUUCUCAGUACAGAGACAGAAUUACAAAAUGAAAAGGAGAAGAAGACUCCCCAGCAGAAUCACAAUACAAUGCUCUGCCCACCAAGCUGAAGAACAGCUGGCCAAACAUUCAAAUCCACUAACAAAUUUCUUGACACCCCAAUCCCUCUCUUAUUCUCUUUUUAUAGCUUUUUGUCCCAUCUUUCACAUGCCAGCCGAAUGUUCCUCUAACUGAAUGGUUUGCACAGCUGGCCCUUUUUCUUCUAAAGCUUUCUGGAUAACCAAUUCUUUGCCUUCUAAAGUCUUAUUGGGCCUUCUAGUGUAGACCCUCCAUGUGGCUCUUGCCCUUUUGAUGGUUGCAAAUUCUCAUCAGUUGUCCAUUGUUUCUACAUUCAAAUUUAAAGAAGUAUCAGUAGGUCAAUUAGCAAAACCUUAAUGUAGGUUACAUAUAAUGUAUACAAGGAAAAACUUAUAAGCUCAUUGAGAAUCAGUAACUAGCACUAAUACUAGUUAUGACCAUUUUAAAAUUCAUUUCUUGUGCACUUUUUCAUGUCCCUUUUUGUUAUGGAUUUAUGAUAAUUAAGGUUAAUGUUUAACUAUACUUGUGAACAGGUUAUAGCAACAAUUUGUGAGG